CACCGGUGGGUGGCGUGCUUCGCUCGAAGCUUCCGGCUUCGAUAUGCGUGACGCAGCCGCCCGGUUCCUCUCCGAGUUCGGCGG
Molecule: transfer RNA, 84 nt
Filed under: Sphaerimonospora thailandensis
Lineage: Bacteria; Bacillati; Actinomycetota; Actinomycetes; Streptosporangiales; Streptosporangiaceae
Description: tRNA-Gly
Source: RNAcentral